GACAUGAUUUAGCGGUAGGUUGUUAGAGUUAGGGCAGUAUGGUUAGGUUGCGGUUGGACUUGAUGAUCUUGAAGGUCUUUUCCAACCUGAGCAGUUCUAUGAUUCUAUGACUCUAUGAUUGUAUGUAAGUUUUUGUAUGUGUAUCCUUGAAUAUAACAAAUAUGUGCUUUUAUCUAACUCGGGUUGACCACCCUUGAAGCUGCUAAAGUGGUUAAGUAAAGGAACUCCUAAUCACAGUGCAAUGACUAAAAAAGAUGACUAAAAAGAGUGCCUUGAGAAAACACGUAGUUAAUGAGCAUGUCUGGCUAGCCUGCAGGUAGGGAGAUCAGCCCUAUCUUUAACUGACCAGUUGUAGGCUAUAUAGGGGUAAUGAUCAAGUGAUAAAAAGAUAAGUAUAAAAAAGCCUCUAGUGCUAGCUUUGUGGGAGACCAUCUAGCACCCAAACUUGUACAACUCUGCAAUAAAUCAUUAUAUCCUCUCUGUGUGAAACUGGCUUACUGCACACUGAGUAACAAAUCUGCCUUUCAGACAACAGUAACACUUAAAGGUGGGUAAUGAAAGAUACAUUUUCCUUUGCAAUUUGUUCAAAUGGUUAAAUCAUGUUUGCUCUUCUAAAAAUUGCAACUUAAUUCUAAACUCAGUUUGUUUGUCCUUAUUUUCUAGUAUUUUGUUUUUCCAGUGUUCACGUGUGCUAUGUUAAAUAGUCUGGCAUUCUGUGCUUUUGGGGGGGGUUGUUCGUUUAUUUAUUCUUCCCCCUCUUUAGGUAUGCAUAAACUGGAAGCCAGUCACCUUUGUAUUAAAGAGGCCACCUCUUUUAAGGAUAUUUUCCAGCCUGGAAAACUGGCAAUGAGUUCAUCAACAUUUUUUUACUUUUUUUCUUUUAAAGUGGUUGUGUGGCACUUAGUUUAUCACUGCCUGAGAUAUUGGAAUACAUUCUUUCAUACUGCUGCUCACUGUUCUCCUAUUCAUACCUUUUGCCAUAUUAGCACAUUAAAUUGCUUCCUGAUUGUAACAUGACAUCUAGGUUUUUUCCAGAACCAGUAUUUUCCAGGAUACAGUCUACUCUUCCAAACAGCCUACCCUAAGCUCUAUGAAAAGUGUAUUUUUUUGAAUGUACUCAGUUUUCCAGUUUCUGCACAUUACUCCUUGUGACUCUUAGUCUCAUUCAUUACUAGUCUACUUCUCUGCAGCCUUUUGUGCCACUUACAUCUGUAUUUGAAUCAUCAAGAGACCAUCCUUCCAGGAGCUACUAAAGUAACUCCCCGAAACAUUCUAUCAGUGAUGACUGCUACUUUUCACCAUUUGUCCUUCUCCACUCAUUUAAGCAUUCCAGAAAAGCUGAUGGAGAUGGAGUCCCAUUGGUUAAGGCUGCUUGCAGAAUUUGAAAGAUAGUACUCGUUUUCUUUGCACUCAAAUCAGACUUAGAAGCCACCCACAAAAAUUUUCCUUCUGAGUUUUGUAGGUUCUAAAGUUUUGUUUUCAUUUUGAACAGAUAAAGCAGGUAUUUGACAUCUCUGGGCAAUGGUCAGAUUCUAAAUUCCUUAUAGGACUUGCUUAAUUGUUGAAUUACACUAACAUCUAUUUAUGGAUUCAAAAACAAAAGUAAAUCUUUAGUAAAGGCUUUGACUUUUGAGAAAACUGAGUUUAUUCUUCAAGUAAAAAGAGAACUUCUGUUUCGAUUCAUAUUUGUACACUAUUGUGCUUAACUGUUCCACGUUAUUCUUCGAGAUAAUUAAAAAUAACAAAUGUAGUGAAGUAAGUAAUAGUCUUGAAAAUGCUAUUACAACUAACUCUCCAAGAACUGGAACUUAGCAUAUUUCCUGUCGAAAUGAUGUACAAGAUAGACUGAGCAUUUCUCAGAUACAACUACAUCUUAACUGAAAAGUGGGAUAGUGCCUAUGUCAUAAUCUCUGAGUUGCACUUGUAUGGACCUAGGAGUUGUAUGCCUGUUUUGGAGUCCUCAAAGCACACUUUAAGCUGCCCCUUAACCACAGAAGAGUGAUGAGCCUCAGACCUCACCAUCUGUUCCUUGAUCACAGUAAGCAACUCUCAAGUGGUCAGUUCUGUGAAAAACCAUACACAACAAUGCAAAAUUACACAGUAUGCAAUAACAUUCUAAUAAUACAUGUAAUAACAAAGAGAUGGCUUAUGUCAUACAGAAAAGAAGCAUGCUUCAAUUCCAACAGUUACAUUCCACAUUGUAAUGCUACAGCUUUAAAUUUCUUAGCUAAUUUUUUGUUUCUUAAGAAUGAUGGGAUCAUUAUGCACUUCUGCUUCAAAGCUACUGGUUAUCUUCUUGCCUCUCACCAGUGGGUGUGCACUCAGGUUGAGGCCGUUAUGUGGUUAGCCAUUAUGUGAUGAAGCACAAUGUCUUUGACAAGUCAGUCAAUUCAUUCAACAUGAAGUAAAUGGUUCUCUUUAAUAUCAAUCCAUAUGUGAUAGCUUUUUCUAAGAAAACUUUAGAAAAAUUAAAUUACAAAAUCUGUUGAACCAGGUCUUAAACUGUAUGGCAUAUUCCCGUUACUGAUGGUUAUCAUAGUAAUAGUAUCCUACAAGUUAAAUCACACUUUUGUCUGACUCAUUCAUGAGGUCACAAGUUCUGAACUUGAGUCGUUGCUAAACAGACUGGGAAUAAUUUAGUUAUAUAAAACUAUUGUGGUUUUCCCCACUACUUAUAGUCAGAAGAGCUGUUUUCAGGUCAGAGCAAAGCCAUUUCCGAGGCCAGUUUUACAUGAUUUUGCACUCGAUUCAGCUCGCUGUUCUCAAACAGGUCCUUCUGCUGCAUCCACUUUUCAUUUCUGCAUGUUCUCCUUCCCUGUCAAGUGUUUUCCCUUCCCAUUGAGCCGCUAACAUGUGACUUACAGCACAGUCAUAAAGUUUUCCACAUAUCUCCUCCUCCCCUCACCCCACCUCUGAACACCGCUUGCCUUGCCCUACUUCCUGGGAACAUUCAACGUUUGUUCUGAUUUGUGAAAUAUGUAAGUCCUGUGGACGACUCCAAAUGAGUACAACGCUGAGAUCUAACCUUAAAAUCUCUUAAAACCGUGACAAAGUAUAAGUUGCAUCUGACUGUAUAAUUACUUAUCAGAGUAAGGAGGAAUACUGUUAAGGCCACGAAAAUGACAUUUGAAAUGUAGCUUGUUUUCACAAGCAUUUCUGGUAUGUAGCUGCUGCUCUGUUCUUAAACUUCUCACUGCUAUUGCUGCUGUUCCAAUAUUCUAAAAAGUCUUUAAAUUUCACAUAUCUUCUCAAAAUACAGCUUGAGGUGGUAAGAAAACAGACUUCAAUAAAAUUCCGUUUGUCUGUUUAAA
Numida meleagris (helmeted guineafowl) is the source of this 3311-nucleotide long non-coding RNA. RefSeq lists it as uncharacterized. Lineage: Eukaryota; Metazoa; Chordata; Aves; Galliformes; Numididae. The record is from RefSeq and is a predicted model, not a curated record. The transcript has 2 exons.